UUCAUCUUAUAUAAUAAUCAUAUAUAAUUUAUUUUUAUAUGUAUCAACGCCAUGUAGGAAACCAGCUGGUUGCCCAGAGCAGGAUGAUUCUUUAGUGACCCUACCACGGACUGCCACUUCAUCUUGGGACCCAGUUGAAGAAGAACUCACACAGAGGGAGGUAAGUCAUCCAAAAGAGGGAGGUGGCUCAGACAUGGAGAUCAAAAUGAGAGCAACUUUUCCUGUCAACCCUCGGUGGCUGUACUGGAGGUGAUGCCAUCCGCCGCAUGCUGCUGAGACAGUCCAGCCUGCGGGGAAGAAAGACAAAGAGAGCCUUCCAGGACCUGGCUGUACGCAGGGUUAUAACAGGCAGGUGCUAUUUUAUUGUUCACAUCAGUAUUAUGCUUAGCUUGGCUGACAAAAGGUUUUAAUUUGACUUAUAACUUUGCUUCAUUUUGACUUCUACUUUAGUGGCCUGCCAGAAAAACUUCCCUGCGCUGACUGCUGUAGAAGCGGAGGAUUUGAUUGGGCAAGUUCUGGUGUU
Etheostoma cragini (Arkansas darter) is the source of this 523-nucleotide long non-coding RNA. RefSeq lists it as uncharacterized. The transcript is spliced from 3 exons. The record is from RefSeq and is a predicted model, not a curated record. Lineage: Eukaryota; Metazoa; Chordata; Actinopteri; Perciformes; Percidae.